GGCCACCAUGGGGGGCACCUGUUACCCGCCACGGGCCAGCUCCUCCCGCAGUGAGCGCCCCCACCGGCUUUGCUCAGGAGAGUGGACACAGUCCUAAGCUCCAUGCGUCAGUUCCACAGGCCUGUGAGCACACUUCCCUGGCCCUCAGGGUUCUCCUCCCUGGGCCUCCGCCAGCUAGUGUGCAGAAACACUCGACGUGCAAAGACCCCACGCGGGCCUCACUGGGUGAGUCUGUAUAAAUGGUGGCCGCCCUUUGGGGGGCGGGGAGUGGUGAUUCUCCUGACUGUAUCAUAAAGCCACAGACAGGGCUUCUUCCCUGGCGGCUCAGCGGCAAAGAAUCCGCCUGCCAAUGCAGGAGAUAGGGGUUCAAUCCCUGAUCAGUGAAGAUCCCACAUGCAGUGGAGCAAACAAGCUGUGUGCCACAACUACCGAGCCUGUGCUCUAGUCUGGCAGCCACAACUACCGAGCCCACCUUAAUGCGAAGCGUGCUCUGCGAACAAGAGCAGCCAGCGCCAUGAGAAGCCCGAGCGCUGCAACUCAAGUAACCCCGCCCGCCACAGCGAGGGGAAAGCCCACGGGCAGCGAUGAAGACCCAACACAGCCGAAAACAAAUGCAUGAAUAAAAUAUAAAAUGCCUGACUUGGAAAAAAUGAACCAUCAGUAAGUAUUUUUCUCAAAAGCUGCGCACAACAUUGGAAAUCCGACAACCAGGGAUGUGAACAUGCCUGGUUCUGUUGAACCAGAAUCUGGUGAGUGCCUGGGCCAGGUGCUUCUACUCGGGUCUGCUCACAGGGUCCAUCCAGAGCACCUGGAGACUUUGCUCAGUAGCUCCGUCCUCACUGCACAUCCCGGGAGGCUGGGUAGCUGGGUGAGAGCUCCUACUCAUUCACACGUGUACUCAACAGUAUUUACUGAUGCUGAGGAUGUGUUCUGGACACAGCAGGGGAGAGCUCACAUUCUGGCAGGAGACAGACUGUGAACCGUAGACACAGAAGGGAUGGAGAUGAGUGACGAGAGCCACGGAAGAGGGAAGCGGCUGGUCAGGCCAGGGGGCUGGAUGGGCAGGCCAGAUGUGAGGCUCCAGGUGGGCCCCCUCUGAUGACCACACGGCGUGAAGUGGCAGAGUUAGGACCUGAACCAGGACCACCUUUCGCCUGACCUCCGUCCAUCUGCCACGUCAACACGUUGUAGGAGGAGCCCCCAGCUCCACUAGCCAGUCCCAAGCUCCCAAGGACUCAGCUCGCUCUGCCCAAAACACUGGCCCCCAGGACACUGGCCAGGCCUCUCUGAAGACUUUAAAGCCCCCAACCCUAAAGAAAAUAGGGUUUUUAUCCCAGCCUCCAGCCUGAUUCAAACAAGCCCAUUCUUAAGAGCUCUACCUGCAACCCGUGGGAAUGUUUGUUUCUGCUGGGUCUGCCUCCCGCGCUGCAAAGUUGGCCCUGUGAAAGCAGCUAAUGGAUAUGUUUGCGUUGCUUCAGUCUCCCCGGGACCCAGCACUGUGCCUGGACCGUGGCAGGUGGAUUCUUGAUCACUAGCCGCCAGUUCACUGACGCUCAAGCACCUCACAGGAAGGCCUCUCAGGACACAGACACUAGGGGUCUCAUCCGAGGAGCUGCUCCCACAGGUGGGCGGUCAGCUCAGCGCUCCAGGCCUGGGGCACUUGCCUCUCCCUGGGCAGGGGUGCCGGACGCCAGGCCUCUCCGGCUGUGCCAGUCACCACUGCUGCCAUGAGCAGACCUUCACAGUAUUUUCUAUCCCGCCUUUUGGAGCCCCUGGAAUCCCCCCUUUCCCUCAGCCCACACCCCUGCCAAAUGCAGCCACCGUCUUCCCCCCAGGUGUGUCUCUCAGCUAAACAC
Molecule: long non-coding RNA, 1856 nt
Organism: Bos taurus (domestic cattle)
Lineage: Eukaryota; Metazoa; Chordata; Mammalia; Artiodactyla; Bovidae
Source: Ensembl